This 245-nucleotide ribosomal RNA is filed under the name uncultured Gemella sp. Its description in RNAcentral is "partial 16S ribosomal RNA". It matches the Rfam family "Bacterial small subunit ribosomal RNA", at positions 118 to 354 of the family's 1533-position model. Lineage: Bacteria; Bacillati; Bacillota; Bacilli; Caryophanales; Gemellaceae. The record is from RNAcentral.
UAAAGAACCUACCUUAUAGACAGGGACAACUAUUGGAAACGAUAGCUAAUACCUGAUAAGAAAGAAACUCGCAUGAGAGAAGUUCGAAAGUCGGAGCAAUCUGACACUAUAAGAUGGCUUUGCGGUGCAUUAGCUAGUUGGUAGGGUAAAAGCCUACCAAGGCGACGAUGCAUAGCCGACCUGAGAGGGUGAUCGGCCACAUUGGGACUGAGACACGGCCCAGACUCCUACGGGAGGCAGCAGAU